CUAGACUAGCAGUUCUAGUGGGUCCAAAUAAAUCCAUGUGAAUUAGUUCUAAGGGUUUUGUUGUUGAGACUAUGUUUUUAGGCUUGAAAGAGCUUCUCGUUUGUUUUCCUAAUUGACAUGCAGCACAAAUUUUGUUCUUUUCAAAAUCUAUCUUUGGUAGUCCUUUGACUAGAUCUUUUGUAAUCAAUUUAGAAAUUAAAUCCAUGCUAGCAUGUCCUAACCUACGAUGCCN
RNAcentral lists this long non-coding RNA (232 nucleotides) under Phoenix dactylifera (date palm). RNAcentral's name for it is "long non-coding RNA (PDAC_LNC007887)". The record is from RNAcentral. Lineage: Eukaryota; Viridiplantae; Streptophyta; Magnoliopsida; Arecales; Arecaceae.